This 339-nucleotide ribosomal RNA is filed under the name Triticum aestivum (bread wheat). RNAcentral's name for it is "partial small subunit ribosomal RNA". Lineage: Eukaryota; Viridiplantae; Streptophyta; Magnoliopsida; Poales; Poaceae. The record is from RNAcentral.
AUGAUAAGAUAUGAGGCAUUUGUCAUCGUGGCGGAAACGAAAAGGGGUGCCACGGCAACAAUAAUGAAACGGUGCCACGACAACGUUGCGGUUCCGGUAACUCGAUUGAGAUACCGAUGCAAAGGAGAAGUGUGCGGAUGCGUGCAAAAGAUGGUGGGGCGCUCCCGGAUUCUGGGUGUCCCACGAGUUUGCGACAAGGAAACGAGUGACAAAUUGGACACGGUGCAAACAAAAGGGUGCAUCUCGUACAUCGCACGCAUUCAACCCCGGGGUCAUCGGCUCGGCGGUUAUACCUUCGAAGUGCGCGGUUUGGGACGAUUCGGGUUCGAAGGGAUGUAG